UACAGGGGGGGCAAGCGUUGUCCGGAAUUACUGGGCGUACAGCGCGCGCAGGCGGUUCUUCACGUGCCGUGUGACAGACGUCGGCUUAACCGACGUAGGCCAGGGUACACGGAAGAACUGGAGGCAGAGAGAGGGAUGUGGAAUACCCGGUGGAGCGGUGAAAUGCGUAGAGAUCGGGUGGAACACCAGGGGCGAAGGCGGCAUCCUGGCUCUGUUCUGACGCUGAGGCGCGAGAGCGUGGGGAGCAAACCGG
RNAcentral lists this ribosomal RNA (253 nucleotides) under uncultured prokaryote. Its description in RNAcentral is "partial 16S ribosomal RNA". It matches the Rfam family "Bacterial small subunit ribosomal RNA", at positions 524 to 776 of the family's 1533-position model. The record is from RNAcentral.